This 444-nucleotide ribosomal RNA is filed under the name uncultured bacterium. RNAcentral describes it as "bacterial SSU rRNA". It matches the Rfam family "Bacterial small subunit ribosomal RNA", at positions 958 to 1398 of the family's 1533-position model. The record is from RNAcentral.
AACGCGAAGAACCUUACCAGCUCUUGACAUGCCCGGUAUGGGCGGGAGAGAUCCCGCUCUUCGGUUCGGCCGGCCGGGACACAGGUGCUGCAUGGCUGUCGUCAGCUCGUGUCGUGAGAUGUUGGGUUAAGUCCCGCAACGAGCGCAACCCCCAUCUGCAGUUGCCAGCGGUUUGGCCGGGCACUCUGCAGAAACUGCCGGUGACAAGCCGGAGGAAGGCGGGGAUGACGUCAAGUCCUCAUGGCCCUUAUGGGCUGGGCUACACACGCUACAAUGGUCAGGACAAAGAGUUGCCAACCAGCGAUGGGGAGCUAAUCUCGUCAAACCUGGCCUCAGUUCAGAUCGGAGGCUGCAACCCGCCUCCGUGAAGUUGGAGUUGCUAGUAACCGUAAGUCAGCACAUUACGGUGAAUACGUUCCCGGGCCUUGUACACACCGAGACGAC